Molecule: long non-coding RNA, 341 nt
Organism: Osmerus eperlanus (European smelt)
Lineage: Eukaryota; Metazoa; Chordata; Actinopteri; Osmeriformes; Osmeridae
Exons: 3
Source: RefSeq, a predicted model, not a curated record
AGGCAGAUGCUGAGUCUGAUUGCUCAGCCAGCUCCGGGCCAAGGAGAGCCCCACCACUGGAGAACCCUUUAAGCAGGGAAGGGUCAUAGGACACCAUGAUUGGAUGACCACGUCAACUGCUGGACCCUGAUGGACUCACAAUGGAGGAUCUGAUAGGGGAUCGUCGCGGUUGCGGUUGUUGCAGACAUGACAUCACGGGUUGAUGAUGUGUUUUAUAGGCGUGCACUAUUAAACUGGUAAUACAUUUCAGAAUGCCACCGGGCUAUUUGAAGGCUGUGCUAUCUGACUUUGUAAUAGGCCAGGGCUCAAUGCUCUUUAGAGUUAUAUCCCAGGGCAAAUCC